Long non-coding RNA from Odontomachus brunneus, 7133 nucleotides. RefSeq lists it as uncharacterized. The record is from RefSeq and is a predicted model, not a curated record. The transcript is spliced from 4 exons. NCBI's taxonomy places the organism in Eukaryota, Metazoa, Arthropoda, Insecta, Hymenoptera, Formicidae.
AGAGCCUGACUUGUGAGUGCGCGCGCGGGCACCUAGAUGGCGCGUGAUACUUACUCAAUCAUCGUGAUCGUGGGCUCUGGCCGGGCCUCGUUGCCUUUCUUCCGCCGUCCAUUUUGGAGAGCGCACGUGUUUGCGGAGGUGUCCCGAUCGUGUCACAAGCAGCGAAGUUCUAAGUGUAGCAGUGCAGCUGAAAAGAACAGACCACUAGUAACCUGGAAAGGAACGAGAAGAGUGUUGAAGCUGGUACGCUUCCCAGAUCCUAACGACUAGUCGUCUACAACAGUCCUAAAGUCCGUGCGUGUUCUUGCGAGUUCGUGCGCGUCCGGAUAGUGGAACCAGUGGCAGAAGAAAAUACACUUACGGUCAAGUGCUAACAAGAAUACCCACCUCUCAAUAGAGAAUUACGAAAUAACAGCUGAGGAAAUAAGCGUCACGAGAUUAACACCCCGACAAAACCAAUUAUUAAAAUCGGCAAAAAUAUCCAAAGAUCCCUUUCAAAGGAAGAAAUAAAUAAAUAUGUACAGAAACUAAAUCAAGCGUUUGCCGAACAUGAACAAAAGAGAAAAAUUUGCGAACAACUUGAUACAUCAUCAUGGAUCCUAUGUCAUCAAAGUUUACCGAAUCUCUGUCCGAAAGAAUUGAAAGAGCAACACGUGACUAUCGUCGGGCUGAGUCCUUUAAUCCCAAACACCAUCCCAACCAGUCAUUCCACGUGGAAAACAAACAAAACAUAACACCGAAAGAAUCGAUAAAUGUUACAAAGAUAGAUGUCCCUCUAGAAAGAUCUCUAGAGUUUUACAUGAGUAACCCAAAGAAAAUUCCAACACUACCAAUGGAGAGAUGGGACAGCUUACUACAAUAUUGGAAAAAUAAAAAUGAUGAAGCGCGUCAAGAUUACUUGGCAAAGGUCACUCCAAUUCUGAAAGAGGCGCUAAAAUUUCAAAAACAAAUGGAAAAGUACAAAGUAGGAAAAUAGGAAGAAAUCAAUCGAGUUCUUCCCCCAUGCUCAAUUUUAAGCAACGUCAUACGAAAAAGUACAUUAAUAACAUCUUUAUCGAAACCUCAGGUGAGUCAACAAUUAUUAAACUCCACACCGAGUACUCUUCCGGCAACAGGUACAUCUGGAACAACACUCGUAACCUCUUCAUCUAUUAAUCUUCCGUUUAAGCGUCAGAAACUAUCAAGUGCCAUUGAAGUACCAACCUAGGAUAAUGAGAUAAUAAUAGAAGGAGAGCACAACACUAAAAACCCCACAGAGAAACCCAAAAUCGCAAAAGAAAGAAGAAACACACAAAAAAAAGAAGGAAGAACCAAGAUCGAUUACCAAUACGUAACACCUUCGGCAUAAAAACCAAGACCAAGUGAUAUGAAACAGAUAAGGAAACAUCUCCUCGGACAAAGACAUGAAUGAUUCGACACAGCACAAAGUCCAUGAUGAUUAUUAAGUCCGGACUAAGGGCGCACUGGUUUCAAAAGACAAACUGUCAACAGUGACCCGAGAACGAGUAAGUUUGUGACAAACUGCCGGUGGAGGAAAAAUUGGCCCACCAUUCAGGAAAAGACCGAGUCACAAAAAGAAAACAAAGUGACGUGGUCCAUUACAAGAUUAAAAAACUUCAUCUAUAAAAGUCAUCUAAUAAUCGAAUCGAGUUUUUUGUUAUCUCUUGUUACAAUCUUUUUGUUAUCUUUUGUUAUCUCUUAGAAGAAUCAUUUUCAUGAUAAACAUGUAUACGAUUUUUAGUUAUUUUAUUUUAUCUAAUAAAGAUAGCUUUCGCGGAAUAAGGACUUUAGCCAGUUUUCUUUUAACAUAUAAAAAUAAGACGUAAUCUGUCGUAUUGAGGGACGAGCUUGGGUAACUUUACAGAACCUAGCCGUAUAUAUCCUUAACCAUAUAUCUCCGUACAGUAGUUUUGCUUUAUCAUAAUUUUUUAAUUUAUACUAUAACCAAUCUAAUCUAAUCAAUUAAGUGAAACAUUAUCCAGAUUCUUCUACUAAUAGUGAUUCUAACUGAUUGAAUCGCGUCAUCGCGUUUCAGUCAGUACCGAUUAGAUCUUUUAUCGUUUAAAAAUCUGUUUAAAUCUGUCAAAAUCAUAUUCCGUAUAUAACUAACUUGGCGUCAUUGUUGUUCGAUAAGUGAAAGUUGUUUUGUUUACAUUUCUUACCGGAAUGAAAUAAGUUACUUUUGAUAUUAAUAUAUGAAACGUACUUGUAAGGAAUGAUAAGCCAGUAUACGACAGUCUUUCGUAUAGUUACCGUUCGACUGCUGAAAAAUGAAAUUCUAUGAAAAUAUAAUUUAAUUUACGCAUUUUAUUGCAUUUAUAAAUUUAAUUGCAUUUAUAAAGUAAUCUUAAUUUAAAUAUUUUUUUAGUAGAUGCUGCUAUCUCGAACGACUAGCGGGGAGCUGGACCCCCCUAAAAACUAACCUAACCCAACCUAUCGUCACAUUAAGCGUCAGUCAAUGUUUAUUAAAGUUCAACUUUUGUGUUAAUGUGAUGAGUGUUAAUGUGCGCAGCUUUCCGCUAGUCUUUCGAGAUUGCAAUACUUACUAAAAAUAUUUAAAUUAAGAUUAAUUUAUAAAUGCAAUAAAAUGCGUAAAUUAAAUUAUAUUUCCAUAGAAUUUCAUUUUUCAGCAGUCGAACGGUAACUAUACGAAAGAUUGUCGUAUACUGGCUUAUCAUUCCUUACAAGUACAUUCAUAUUCAUAUUCAUAUUCAUAGUUUCAUACGUCUAAUAUCAAUAGUAACUUAUUUCAUUCCGGUAUUACAUCCUGCACAGACGUGAGUCACAUUAUUUAUCUUUUAUCCUCCUGUCGGCACCCAACAAACAGCUCCAAAUCCUAAUCGGUUUUCCCGUCUAUCCCAAUAAAAAUUCGAACCGUAAUUCCCGAUAACUAGGAAAUACGGAACCAAAAAUCUCCUAAUCCUCCAAGUAAGUUUCGCUGGACCUUAACAUCAAAAGGAAACCGCCGUACCUUACCCAUAACAUCAGAAGGAGACACCAGAUAACAAAAAAAUUAUAUCCAUUACUUUCCAACUUGCAUCACCCUCUUCCGCCCUGUCCACAGAUUCCCUCACCACCGAAAAAUCCUCCAAUUGCCGUCUCUCUUAAACGUACGAUUUUCUCCACCCAUUACCCCAGUCAAAGAGAUCUUUUUAACCCUAUCUGCUCAUUUAUCACUGGCUGCAACAUUACCCCAUGCCUUCCUCUUUUAACGAAUCUAACACCUAGGAUCCCCGAAAUGUCAUAUUUUUCCUACCAAACCAUCUCCAGCUAAUCCCCUAUAAAACCGCGACCCCGCGUUGUGCUCGCACUUCCUCGCUUGGUUCACGACUUCCUCUCUUGGGUCUCUUCUACUACUGGACAGACGUCGCAUUCCUUUCUUCCGCUUACUUCAAUUCACUUCAUCUCUUCGUCACUACUUCUUCACAAGUGCUACCGCGCCAAAAAUUGAAGGGACUUUGAGGAAACGUUGCCCACGAAUUGACUGAGCCCAUUGAUCAUCCUUAACCCCCAUCUUGGUAAAGGUUAUCACCGAAAAGUAAGUCCUACGAGUCUUUUAUUUUUCUUUUUUUUUGUUUUAUGUGAUUCCUGUCGCGCUAAUUAAUUGUGAUAAUUCUGAAGAGUCCAAAAUUUGGUUUUGUCCUUGAGAUCUACUUUCCCCUUCAUUUCCUACACCCCGUAUUAACCUUGAAGACUAACAUUCAUCCUCACCUUCUACAUUCACAUGCACACCACACACAUUUACACACGCGUACCCGAUAAUUUUUGACACUGUAACCCUUCGAUAGUAAUUGACCGCGAUAAAAAUUGUAACGAGGCGCAAGAAAAUAAGUGUAAAUCAUUAAUGUCUAAAAUUUCGGAUUACAAUUUAAUUUAAAAUUUUAUCUUAAUUUUCCAACUUCCUUUCCAUUCGAUUAUUCGCUCUUAAUCCGUCCCGCGAUAUAGAGAUUCGGUUCUCUGAUCGAAAAAGGACCACUCGCCGUACGUUGACACCUGUGUAAACGACCCUUUUGGUCGCUGACGCGUUUCUCGACCUGCGUGUAAGGCCGAGGCUUUCGUCACGUUGCGUUUUUCGCCAGAACGCAACCUACUGACGUAAUACCGGUAAGAAAUGUAAACAAAACUUUCACUUACCGAACAACAUGACAAUACGAAACUAGAUAUCAGUAUGUAUAGUAUCAGAAAAUUACACUAUACUCAAUUACAUUAUAUACAUUUUCUUUGUUAAUAACUUUUUAAUGAACAACGAGCUACGGUUAAAAUCUCUUGAAUAUUAUUCAGGAUGGUCAACUGUAUAAUAUAUCCAAAGAUUAUUAAAAUCAGAGAGUGGUCCGUUAUUCUGCAUAUUUACCUCCAAAUGAGCGGUGUGCAACUUUUCGUGUCCAAAUGAGCGGUGUGUAACUUUUCGUGUCUAAAUGAGCGGUGUGCAACUUUUCGUGUCCAAAUGAGCGGUGCACAAUUUUCGGUGUCCAAAUUAGCUGUGUGCAACUUUUCGUAUCCAAAUGAACGGUAUGCAACUUUUCGUGUCUAAAUGAGCGGUGUGCAACUUUUCGUGUCCAAAUGACCGGCGUGCAACUUUCAGUGUCCAAAUGAGCGAUCCGCAUUUUUCUCGUGUUCAAAUGCACUGUGUCCAAAUUCAUCGUGUCCAAUUGCACCGUGUCCAAUUAAACCGUGGGCAAAAUUUCGUGUCUAAUUGCAACGUGUCCAUUUGCUCCAUAUCCAAUUGUACCGUGUCCAAGUACACCGCUCCCAAAUGAAAGUACGUUAGCACGACCAGGAUCUAUACAAUCAGGAACGCAACAAAACAUAUUAAAUACUGGAGUAUAAGAAACUCAGGUAUCACAAAGUAAGUACGUCUAAAUGUUAGUUAAAUCAGAUCAUCACAUACAUUACAUAUUUUAACCGAUUUUCUUACACCGUGUUGUACUAUUUCUCUUAAUUCAUGAUCGUGGCUGCAGGAAAUUGCCAUGGAAAAAUAUGUACAAUAAUAAAUAUAUCAUUUAAUUAAAUUGUAUGACAAUAUUAUAAGAUAAAAUUACGAUAUUUUAUAUAAUUUGCAUAGUAUGAAUAAAAUUAAUUUUGUAAUAAUUUAUAAAAACAAAUACGACCGCAACUCGCGAACUCUUCUACUCAAACGCACACUUUAUCUUCACUUUGUCGAUCAUGCAAUAAACUAACAGAUACGAAGGAAUGAUAUUUAUCUCUCAUUACUUAGACUCUGAACUCAAAUAUCUUAUUCAAAUCUGAGUAAUAUUGUGAAAGUCUGAUUUGUGAGUGCGCGCGCGGACACCUAGAUGGCGUGUGAUUCUUACUCAAUCGUCGUAACCGUGGGCUUUGGCCGAGACUCGUGGCCUUUCUUCCGCAGUCCAUCUUGGAGAGUACACGUAUUCGCGGAGGUGUCCCGAUCGUGUCACAAGCAGCGGAAUUCUAUGGUCUGUUUUUUUCAGCUACACUGUUUCACUGGUGCAAUAAGUUAGAAUGAGACAUACAUAUUUUAUUUCACUUUAGCUUAUUGCACCAGUGUACCAGUGCAGCUGAAAAGAACAGACCACUAGUAACCAGGAGAGGAACGAGAAGAGUCCGGAAGCUGAUACGCUUCCCAGGUACUAACGACUAGCCGUCUACAGCAAUCCUAAGGUCCGUGCGUGUUCUUGCGAGUCUGUGCGCGUUUGGAUAGUGGAAACAGUAGCAGAAGACAACACACUUACGGUCAAGUGUUAACAAAAAUACAAACCCACCUCUCAACAGAGAAUUACGAAAUAACAGCGGAGGAAAUAAGCGUCACGAGAUUAACACCCCGACAAAACCAAUUAUUAAAAUCGACAAAAAUAUCCAAAGAUCCCUUUCAGAAGAAGAGAUAAAUAGAUUUUGUAUCAAAAUUAUAUCAAGCGUUCGCCGAACACGACCAAAAGGAAAAAAUUUGCGAACAAUUAGAUAUAUCAUCAUAGUUUCCCAUAUUGUUCAUCGAACUUCUGUCCGAAAGGGACAGUUCACAGAGUAACACGUGAAUAUCGUCGCUGAAUCCUUUAACCCCAAACAUUAUCAAGCAGUCAUUCGCUAUGGAAAACAAACAAAACACAACACAGAACGAAUCAAUAAAUGUUGGAAAGAUGGAUGUUUUCCUAGAAAGAACUCCAGAGUUUUACCUGAAUGACCACAGUAGAAUUCCAUUAAUAUCAAUGGAGAAAUGGAACCGUUACCUACAACAUUGGAAUAAUAAACAUGAUGAAUCGCGUCAAGAUUACUUGGCAAAAGUCACUUCAAUUCUGAAAGAGGCGCUAAAAUUUAAAAAAGAAAUGGAAAAGUACAAAGUAGGAAAAUAAGAAGAAAUCAAUCGAGAUCUUCCCCCAUGCUCAAUUUUAAGCAACGUCAUACGAAAAAGUACAUUAGUAACAUCUUUAUCGAAACCUCAGGUGAAUCAACAAUUAUUAAACUCCACACCGAGUACUCUUCCGGCAACAGGUACAUCUGGAACAACACUCGCAACUUCUUCAUCUAUUAAUCUUCCGUUUAAGCGUCAGAAACAAUCAAGUGCCAUCGAAGUACCAACCCAGGAUAAUGAGGUAAUAAUAGAAGAAGAGCACAACACUAAAAACCCCACAGAGAAACACAAAAAACGCAAAAGAAAGAAGAAACACACAAAAAAAAGAAGGAAGAACCAAAAUCGAUUACCAAUACGAAACACCUUCAGCAUAAAAACCAAGACCAAAUGAUAUGAAACAGAUAAGGAAACAUCUCCUCGGACAAAGACAUGAAUGAUUCGGCACAGCACAAAGUCCAUGAUGAUUAUUAAGUCCGGACUAAGGGCGCACUGGUUUCAAAAGACAAACUGUCAAGAGUGACCCAAGAACGAGUAAGUUAGUGACAAACUGCUGAUGGAGGAAAAAUUGGCCCACCAUUCAGGAAAAGACCGAGUCACAAAAAGAAAACAAAGUGACGCGGUCCAUUACAAGACUAAAAAACUUCAUCUAAAAAAGUCAUCUAAUAAUCGAAUCGAGUUUUUUGUUAUCUCUUGUUACAAUCUUUUUGUUAUCUUUUGUUAUCUCUUAGAAGAAUCAUUUUCAUGAUAAGCAUGUAUACGAUUUUUAGUUAUUUUAUUUUAUCUAAUAAAGAUAGCUUUCGCGGAAUAAGGA